AAAUUGAAGAGUUUGAUCAUGGCUCAGAUUGAACGCUGGCGGCAGGCCUAACACAUGCAAGUCGAACGGUAACAGAAAGCAGCUUGCUGCUUUGCUGACGAGUGGCGGACGGGUGAGUAAUGUCUGGGAAACUGCCUGAUGGAGGGGGAUAACUACUGGAAACGGUAGCUAAUACCGCAUAACGUCGCAAGACCAAAGAGGGGGACCUUCGGGCCUCUUGCCAUCGGAUGUGCCCAGAUGGGAUUAGCUAGUAGGUGGGGUAAAGGCUCACCUAGGCGACGAUCCCUAGCUGGUCUGAGAGGAUGACCAGCCACACUGGAACUGAGACACGGUCCAGACUCCUACGGGAGGCAGCAGUGGGGAAUAUUGCACAAUGGGCGCAAGCCUGAUGCAGCCAUGCCGCGUGUAUGAAGAAGGCCUUCGGGUUGUAAAGUACUUUCAGCGGGGAGGAAGGGAGUAAAGUUAAUACCUUUGCUCAUUGACGUUACCCGCAGAAGAAGCACCGGCUAACUCCGUGCCAGCAGCCGCGGUAAUACGGAGGGUGCAAGCGUUAAUCGGAAUUACUGGGCGUAAAGCGCACGCAGGCGGUUUGUUAAGUCAGAUGUGAAAUCCCCGGGCUCAACCUGGGAACUGCAUCUGAUACUGGCAAGCUUGAGUCUCGUAGAGGGGGGUAGAAUUCCAGGUGUAGCGGUGAAAUGC
RNAcentral lists this ribosomal RNA (699 nucleotides) under Escherichia coli. RNAcentral's name for it is "bacterial SSU rRNA". It matches the Rfam family "Bacterial small subunit ribosomal RNA", at positions 1 to 689 of the family's 1533-position model. Lineage: Bacteria; Pseudomonadati; Pseudomonadota; Gammaproteobacteria; Enterobacterales; Enterobacteriaceae. The record is from RNAcentral.